This 336-nucleotide unclassified non-coding RNA is filed under the name soil metagenome. RNAcentral describes it as "partial contains 5.8S ribosomal RNA, internal transcribed spacer 2, and large subunit ribosomal RNA". The stretch from base 1 to 120 matches the Rfam family "5.8S ribosomal RNA", at positions 35 to 154 of the family's 154-position model. The record is from RNAcentral.
GAUGAAGAACGCAGUGAAAUGCGAUAAGUAAUGUGAAUUGCAGAAUUCAGUGAAUCAUCGAAUCUUUGAACGCACAUUGCGCCCGCCAGUAUUCUGGCGGGCAUGCCUGUUCGAGCGUCAUUUCAACCAUCAAGCCCCAGGCUUGUGUUGGGGACCUGCGGCUGCCGCAGGCCCUGAAAACCAGUGGCGGGCUCGCUGUCACACCGGGCGUAGUAGAUUUUAUCUCGCUCAGGGCGUGCUGCGGGUUCCGGCCGUUAAAAAGCCUUUUUUACCCAAGGUUGACCUCGGAUCAGGUAGGAAGACCCGCUGAACUUAAGCAUAUCAAUAAGCGGAGGA